UACCGAGGUCCCAAGCGUUGUUCGGAUUCACUGGGCGUAAAGGGUGCGUAGGUGGUAGGGUCAGUCGGAUGUGAAAUCUCCGAGCUCAACUCGGAAAUGGCAUUGGAAACUACCCUGCUAGAGGGUCGGAGGGGGGACUGGAAUACUUGGUGUAGCAGUGAAAUGCGUAGAUAUCAAGUGGAACACCAGUGGCGAAGGCGAGUCCCUGGACGACUCCUGACACUGAGGCACGAAAGCUAGGGGAGCAAACAGG
This 253-nucleotide ribosomal RNA is filed under the name uncultured bacterium. Its description in RNAcentral is "partial 16S ribosomal RNA". It matches the Rfam family "Bacterial small subunit ribosomal RNA", at positions 524 to 776 of the family's 1533-position model. The record is from RNAcentral.